CCGCCGGCGGGGACCGGCUAUCCGAGGUAUCCGAGGCCAUCCGAGGCCAACCGAGCCGACCGAGGCCAACCGAGGCCAUCCGAGGCCGACCGAGGCCGACCGAGGCCGACCGAGGCCAUCCGAGGCCGACCGAGGCCGACCGAGGCCAACCGAGGCGCCGCGGGGCUGCCGUAUCGUUCCGCCUGGGCGGGAUUCUGACUUAAGAGGCGUUCAGUCAUAAUCCCACAGAUGGUAGCUUCGCCCCAUUGGCUCCUCAGCCAAUGGGAUCUGAUUUUUUAAGCAGUCACAACACUAGACUUUUAAUUGAGAAAGCUCUGUAAGCAAUUAAAAGCCGCUGUUGUUUUAAACUCUUCUUGUGUCACCUGCUGGCAAUGAG
RNAcentral lists this long non-coding RNA (376 nucleotides) under Homo sapiens (human). RNAcentral describes it as "HSALNT0371523". The record is from RNAcentral. Lineage: Eukaryota; Metazoa; Chordata; Mammalia; Primates; Hominidae.